RNAcentral lists this ribosomal RNA (399 nucleotides) under uncultured bacterium. RNAcentral describes it as "bacterial SSU rRNA". It matches the Rfam family "Bacterial small subunit ribosomal RNA", at positions 59 to 449 of the family's 1533-position model. The record is from RNAcentral.
AAGUCGUACGGAGAGUGGGGCAACUCACUCUCAGUGGCAAACGGGUGAGUAACGCGUGAAUAACCUGCCUUUGAGAAGGGGAUAACUGUCCGAAAGGAUAGCUAAUACCCUAUAUUGCCUUUUGUCACUAAGGCAAAAGGUGAAAGCGAGGCUGUCAAAGGCUUCGGCUCAAAGAGGGGUUCGCGUCCUAUCAGGUAGUUGGUGGGGUAAUGGCCUACCAAGCCAAUGACGGGUAGCUGGUCUUAGAGGAUAAUCAGCCACAGUGGGACUGAGACACGGCCCGCACCCCUACGGGGGGCAGCAGUGGGGAAUCGUGGGCAAUGGGCGCAAGCCUGACCCCGCAAUGCCGCGUGAGGGAAGAAGCCCUUCGGGGUGUAAACCUCUGUCAGAUGGGAAGAU